GCUGCAAGUUCUGUAGGACUGAUGGGAACACAGCUUGCAUUGCAACUGCCCUUGGGUCCCAGUGCCAAUCCUAUCUUCCCUGACAGACACUUGUGCAAGGCUGAGAGACAGCAAAGUGCGUGGAGAAGGGCAUCAAGCAGAGUUCAAAUAAGAAGGGCCCUGCAAGACAAGAAUUUCUAUGCCAGCAGGCAGAUGGGCUUCCAAACUGAGCAACUUCAAGUGCUGGUCAGCGUACUCUACUUCAUGAAGCAUGCCAUGGAGUUCUGGCCUUUGACACAGCAUCAAUGCCAGCUGUAAUGUAUAGCACUUGAGAAUGAUACCAAGUAGGAGGGAAGAUUCACUCAGAGCAUUUCUGUUUGGGUCAAGUUGGUAGUAAGUAUUGACUCAUAUGGAGUCUUUAAUCCUCUCACAAUGUAAUUUAACUACUUCAUGUUUGUGAAAAUCUGUAGAAGAUUUAAAUUCAUUACAUGCAAGAAAGUGCUUUGUAAAAGCCUAAUGUGGGCAUACAGAACUUCACCAGGAAGUCUGAAUAAAAAGAACUUGAAACUCAUGUUCUUUAACAUCCUCAGUAAAGUAUCCAUGAAGAAUUUGUGCAGGGAAGGAGAGGCACAGACUACCUGAAGUAAAAACUUCACAUAAAAGUAAGGGAAAAGGCAAAGCCACCCUCAGUCUCAUGGACUGCAAACAGGAAUUUUGAUUGAGUGCACAUAGUAUAUUAAUGAGACAAUAAAAAAUGAGUUAAGGCCUUUCUAGGCUGAAAACUGGUCUCUGUGGGGAACCUAUGGAUAUUCAGUGCAUUGCAAAAUCAGAUCCAUUUAGUCUACAUCAAACCUGGAUACUGACUUACAUCUAAAGAGAAACAGGAAGCCAAUGAAGGCAUGUAAUUAAUGUAUUAAUGUUUAAUAAAAUGACAAUAAUUUUGUUAGAUAAGUGCUAGUAAACCAGUGCAAAGUGUAAGCAGUCAUAGUAUCAAGGCAUGCAUCAAUAUUUAUUAGCACCAUGAUCAGGUAGCUAGACCUAGCAGUGCUGACAAAAGCAGACGUGAAAUUUCCCCGGAAUCAUGUUCCACUAUGGGAAUAAACAGGGUGUAUAAAAUAAAAUUUCCCAGGAAUCAUGUUCCACUAUGGGAAUAUACAGGGUGUAUAAAAUAAAGUGACAAUUGUUUGAAGAAAAGUGCUUUUUUUAAAUCAACAGUGGACAUUGCAAGAAGCAUCUGUUAUGUACUCUUUCUUCUCAAAAUGAAUGAGCUCUGUUUUCAUAUCACAAAGUGGUUGAUGUUGGAAGGGACCUGGAGGUCUUCUGGUCCAAUGACCCUGCUCAAGCAGGGCCACCUGGAACAGGUUACCCAGGGCCUUGUCAUUGUA
Non-coding RNA from Anas platyrhynchos (mallard), 1364 nucleotides. The record is from RefSeq and is a predicted model, not a curated record. Lineage: Eukaryota; Metazoa; Chordata; Aves; Anseriformes; Anatidae.